GACUUAAUACUUUAAGCAUAAAAGAUUUGAUUUGCAUUCAAAAAAUGGACUAAUUUAGUUCUUAGGUCACCA
This 72-nucleotide transfer RNA is filed under the name Monetaria moneta. RNAcentral's name for it is "tRNA-Ala". Lineage: Eukaryota; Metazoa; Mollusca; Gastropoda; Littorinimorpha; Cypraeidae. The record is from RNAcentral.